RNAcentral lists this long non-coding RNA (548 nucleotides) under Heterocephalus glaber (naked mole-rat). Its description in RNAcentral is "lncRNA (ENSHGLG00000038654.1)". The record is from RNAcentral. Lineage: Eukaryota; Metazoa; Chordata; Mammalia; Rodentia; Bathyergidae.
ACUGGAUUGGAGCUGGGGAGUGGCUGAUGGAAGCCUUCUCCAGGAGAAUGAAGCAAUGCACCCCUGCCUAAUUGGAAGGGACUUCUUCCAGCCCAGACUCAGAGGAGAGGUGGACUAGUUCUGCCUCAGGACUUCAGGCAAAGCUGUCCCUGCUCCAGCUCCAGAUUCCUAUGGUGCUGAAGCAGCCAGGUGAGGAAGUGCCAUAGCUGCACUGGCACCCUCAGCAAACCCUGCUGUACACAUGGAAGCUGCUGGGUUGCUUCUCCCCAGGCUCAGGUCUUGCCAUAGAACUUCUUCCCACCUGGGUUCAAAUCUGAUCUCAGCCCACUUCUAUUGAUCUGCAAAGAGGUGAACCUGAAGAAGAUAGCUUGUCCAGGACAGUCCCCUUCGGAGCACCGCUUGUUUACCCUUCAUGACUGUGCAGCCAGCUGGGAGUACCAGCGUUUAUCAGAUCACAUGUUGCCAGCAAAUUGUUAACUGCUUCCAGAUGUGCUGGAGGAUGCUUGUCAUCCCAGCACCGGGAGACUGAGGAUAUGCAUUUGCAGUCA